CUGUCCCCCACCCUCUACUGGCUUGGCAACUUUCUCUGGGACAUGGUGCGGGGGCUGCUUGGACGGGUGGGGGCCCAGCCACUGCUUGCCACUGCCCUGUCUGGCCCCUUGUAGGCAGGGUCUUGUCCAAGAUGGCCUGGGUAAAGUCUUGAGGAUUGUGGGAGACUUUGUGCCUCAAAAAGCAAGGAGGUCAGGGUGGGAACAGGGCUGAGGGUGGCAGUGCCCACCUCUUUAGGCUGUUAAAGGUAACUGCCAUCUCCAAUGCAGUGUAACUACUUGGUGCCAGCGUGCAUCGUGGUGCUCAUCUUUCUGGCCUUCCAGCAGAGGGCAUAUGUGGCCCCUGCCAACCUGCCUGCUCUCCUGCUGUUGCUACUACUGUAUGGCUGGUCGAUCACACCGCUCAUGUACCCAGCCUCCUUCUUCUUCUCCGUGCCCAGCACGGCCUAUGUGGUGCUCACCUGCAUAAACCUCUUUAUUGGCAUCAAUGGAAGCAUGGCCACUUUUGUGCUUGAGCUCUUCUCUGAUCAGAAGCUGCAGGAGGUGAGCCGGAUCUUGAAACAGGUCUUCCUUAUCUUCCCCCACUUCUGCUUGGGCCGAGGGCUCAUUGACAUGGUGCGGAACCAGGCCAUGGCUGAUGCCUUUGAGCGCUUGGGAGACAGGCAGUUCCAGUCACCCCUGCGCUGGGAGGUGGUCGGCAAGAACCUCUUGGCCAUGGUGAUACAGGGGCCCCUCUUCCUUCUCUUCACACUACUGCUGCAGCACCGAAGCCAACUCCUGCCACAGUUAGUGAGGUCUACGGAGAGGGUGGCAGGGGCCAAGGACCUACUUUAGGCCCACAGAUAUUCUGUCCCCAGGCCCAGGCUGAGGUCCCUGCCACUCCUGGGAGAGGAGGACGAGGAUGUAGCCCGUGAACGGGAGCGGGUGGUCAAAGGAGCCACCCAGGGGGAUGUGUUGGUGCUGAGGAACUUGACCAAGGUAUACUGCGGGCAGAGGAUGCCAGCUGUUGACCGCUUGUGCCUGGGGAUUCCCCCUGGUGAGGUGAGUCCAGGGGUGGAGGCCAGGUGCAGGGACAGUGAGUGGCUGCCCUACUGCAUGCCCUGCCCAUCAUCCUUUACUGAACACCUACUGUGUAUCCACCACCUUUUAUUGGGCACCUACUGUAUGCCAAUAUUUGUGCUCCUAUUUUUAUUUUAUUUUAUUAUUAAUUAAUUAAUUA
Molecule: small RNA, 1216 nt
Filed under: Pan troglodytes (chimpanzee)
Lineage: Eukaryota; Metazoa; Chordata; Mammalia; Primates; Hominidae
Description: retained intron
Source: RNAcentral